Molecule: ribosomal RNA, 402 nt
Filed under: uncultured bacterium
Lineage: Bacteria
Description: bacterial SSU rRNA
Rfam family: Bacterial small subunit ribosomal RNA
Source: RNAcentral
UGGGGAAUAUUGGACAAUGGGGGAAACCCUGAUCCAGCAAUGCCGCGUGUGUGAAGAAGGCCUGCGGGUUGUAAAGCACUUUUGGCAGGGAUGAAAAAGCGCCGGGCGAAUAUCCUGGUGUCUUGACCUAACCUGCAGAAUAAGCACCGGCUAACUCUGUGCCAGCAGCCGCGGUAAUACAGAGGGUGCAAGCGUUAAUCGGAAUUACUGGGCGUAAAGCGCGCGUAGGCGGUCGAGUGAGUCGGAUGUGAAAUCCCCGGGCUUAACCUGGGAAUUGCAUUCGAUACUGCUCGGCUAGAGUGUGGAAGAGGGAAGCGGAAUUUCCGGUGUAGCGGUGAAAUGCGUAGAUAUCGGAAGGAACACCGAGUGGCGAAGGCGGCUUCCGUGGUCCAACACUGACGC